GUGGGGAAUCUUGCGCAAUGGCCGAAAGGCUGACGCAGCGACGCCGCGUGUGGGAGGACGCCUUUCGGGGUGUAAACCACUGUUGCCCGGGACGAACAUCCCUUUUCGAGGGGACUGACGGUACCGGGUGAGGAAGCACCGGCUAACUCCGUGCCAGCAGCCGCGGUAAUACGGAGGGUGCGAGCGUUGUCCGGAAUCAUUGGGCGUAAAGGGCGCGUAGGUGGCGGGACAAGCGUGCGGUGAAAGCCUGGGGCUCAACCCCGGGUCGGCCGUGCGAACUGUUUUGCUUGAGCACUGUAGAGGCAGGCGGAAUUCCGGGUGUAGCGGUGGAAUGCGUAGAGAUCCGGAAGAACACCGGUGGCGAAGGCGGCCUGCUGGGCAGUAGCUGACACUGAGGCGCGACAGCGUGGGGAGCAAACAGGAUUAGAAACCCGGGUAGUCC
RNAcentral lists this ribosomal RNA (442 nucleotides) under uncultured bacterium. RNAcentral describes it as "bacterial SSU rRNA". It matches the Rfam family "Bacterial small subunit ribosomal RNA", at positions 354 to 796 of the family's 1533-position model. The record is from RNAcentral.